AGAUGGCGACCGGCGCACGGGUGAGUAACACGUAUCCAACCUGCCGAUAACUCGGGGAUAGCCUUUCGAAAGAAAGAUUAAUACCCGAUGGCAUAAUUAGACCGCAUGGUCUUAUUAUUAAAGAAUUUCGGUUAUCGAUGGGGAUGCGUUCCGUUAGGCAGUUGGUGAGGUAACGGCUCACCAAACCUUCGAUGGAUAGGGGUUCUGAGAGGAAGGUCCCCCACAUUGGAACUGAGACACGGUCCAA
Molecule: ribosomal RNA, 247 nt
Filed under: uncultured bacterium
Lineage: Bacteria
Description: partial 16S ribosomal RNA
Rfam family: Bacterial small subunit ribosomal RNA
Source: RNAcentral